This 489-nucleotide ribosomal RNA is filed under the name uncultured bacterium. RNAcentral's name for it is "partial 16S ribosomal RNA". It matches the Rfam family "Bacterial small subunit ribosomal RNA", at positions 30 to 507 of the family's 1533-position model. The record is from RNAcentral.
AUUGAACGCUGGCGGCAGGCCUAACACAUGCAAGUCGAACGGUAACAGGAAGAAGCUUGCUUCUUUGCUGACGAGUGGCGGACGGGUGAGUAAUGUCUGGGAAACUGCCUGAUGGAGGGGGAUAACUACUGGAAACGGUAGCUAAUACCGCAUAACGUCGCAAGACCAAAGAGGGGGACCUUCGGGCCUCUUGCCAUCGGAUGUGCCCAGAUGGGCUUAGUUAGUGGGUGGGGUAACGGCUCACCUAGGCGACGAGCCCUACCUGGCCUGAGGGGAUGACAACCGCACUGGGACAUGAACACGGGCCACGCCCCUAAGGGAGGGCACAGUGGGGAAUAUUGGACAAUUGGGGGGAACCUUGUGCAAGCAACGCGGGGUGAAUGAAGAAGCCCUUCGGGUUGUAAGUACUUUCAGCGGGGAGGAAGGGAGUAAAGUUAAUACCUUUGCUCAUUGACGUUACCCGCAGAAGAAGCACCGGCUAACUCCGUG